This 429-nucleotide ribosomal RNA is filed under the name Pseudomonadota bacterium. RNAcentral's name for it is "Proteobacteria bacterium partial 16S ribosomal RNA". It matches the Rfam family "Bacterial small subunit ribosomal RNA", at positions 355 to 776 of the family's 1533-position model. The record is from RNAcentral. Lineage: Bacteria; Pseudomonadati; Pseudomonadota.
UGGGGAAUAUUGGACAAUGGGCGAAAGCCUGAUCCAGCCAUGCCGCGUGUGUGAAGAAGGUCUUCGGAUUGUAAAGCACUUUAAGUUGGGAGGAAGGGCAGUAAGCGAAUACCUUGCUGUUUUGACGUUACCGACAGAAUAAGCACCGGCUAACUCUGUGCCAGCAGCCGCGGUAAUACAGAGGGUGCAAGCGUUAAUCGGAAUUACUGGGCGUAAAGCGUGCGUAGGCGGCUAAUUGAGUCGGAUGUGAAAUCCCCGAGCUUAACUUGGGAAUUGCAUUCGAUACUGGGAAGCUAGAGUAUGGGAGAGGAUGGUAGAAUUCCAGGUGUAGCGGUGAAAUGCGUAGAGAUCUGGAGGAAUACCGAUGGCGAAGGCGGCCAUCUGGCCUAAUACUGACGCUGAGGUACGAAAGCAUGGGGAGCAAACAGG